This is a small nuclear RNA of 115 nucleotides. Its record names the gene U5. It matches the Rfam family "U5 spliceosomal RNA". From Rfam's summary of the family: U5 RNA is a component of both types of known spliceosome. The precise function of this molecule is unknown, though it is known that the 5' loop is required for splice site selection and p220 binding, and that both the 3' stem-loop and the Sm site are important for Sm protein binding and cap methylation. The record is from Ensembl.
UCACUCUUGUUUCUCUUCAUAUCGUAUAAAUCUUUCGCCUUUUACUAAAGAUUUCCGUGGAGAGGAACAUUAUGAGUAUCAACUAAUUUUUUGUGGCCCCACUUUAUCGUGGGGC